Molecule: long non-coding RNA, 2658 nt
Filed under: Marmota monax (woodchuck)
Lineage: Eukaryota; Metazoa; Chordata; Mammalia; Rodentia; Sciuridae
Source: RNAcentral
CAGUGCUUUUCCUUUCUCUAGCUUGCUCUCUCCCAAUCUCUUAGUCUCAAUUUCCUUCCCCUCUCUCUCUCUCUCUUUAGAUUCUUUUUUUCUCCUCUUCUCUUCUAAGAUAAGAAAGCUACUUGAUUCAGGGCAUGAUUAUUGUCUCAGCCAGCUCUAGAAACUAGAAAAGCACACAUUAAACAAAGAACACAACAACAUACCUUAAAAGCAGCUCUUCAUUUCUCAUAGUAACAGCGGAUUUGGGACAGCGCAUGCUUUCUACACAGAUAGUCUCAACAAAAGCCAGUUCAGAAGUACGCUCAAACAUCAAUGCCACAGUCGCUGUUCACUAAUGCGCCCUCUCUCUCUCUUUCUCUCUCUCCCCCCCCCCCCUCUCUUUCUCUCUCCACUCUCUUCCCUAGUCAAAUGCUGGAUAGUAGAGCAAAGGGGCUCCUGCAGAUUCACUAAGUAGAAAUAAUCCUCUCUGACAAGUUAUGUUGUCUCGGCAUAUUUUUACACUAAUACACUGUGCUGCCUAUAGGGGUCUUGUUUGCAUUCACUCAAGCCUGGCUGGUGUUAGUUCUCCUAAUUACCAUCUUAAAAAACUGGACAGAAAAUUAAGCAACUUGGUUACCUUUUUCUUAUACAUUUAAUAGCAAAGCCAAUUUCCCAAUUUUCCUUUGCUGUCAACUGUCAGCGGGCAUUGCAGAUGACUAACGAAAGAUUGGGAUAGGUCAGUGUGCUCAAAAGCAUGUUUGUCUCUUUUUUUUCUGGGACACUGCAUUCACAGUUGGAUUCAUCUGUUCCUCUCCUCUUGUCCUCAGGAAGAGUGACAAGGUCAAGACCCUUAGCCCCACCCUGGACCAGGGAUAUAGAGGACAGAGAUCAGGGGACUUGGAAAUGUUUUAACUCUCUGCACACCAGGGUUCUCAUAAAUCACAGCAUAAUUCACCUGAAGCAGAGGAUCUAAAGCAGAGAGUCACUUGCAAAGAUUGUUGGCCCCAUUGAAAUCCUAAUUGACAGUGGAGUAUCAUCCUCAAAAGGCCAUUGAGUUGCUCUUUUCCAAAAUAAGAAAAAUCUGCUUCCUUACUUCAAUAUACUCCCUAGGCUUUGCAUGUAGAGGAAACCAGAAAAACACACUGUACUUCUGUUUUUUGGAAUUAGAAGCAUUCGAGGCAUAUUAACCAAGUAAAAUAGCUAGUUAAACAUACACACAAGGAAAAAACUAGAUACUGUGGACCAAAUAAUCGGUUGUCCAAAAGUGCAAGUUAAGGAGCCGCUUCAGGAGAUGUGUUCUGACCGGAAGUCAAGAAUGUUCUUUGCUUGGAUGGAACAUCCUAGAACAGCCCAAAACAGACCUGGGUCACUGAACACUGGCCUCCCUCCCAUCCUGCAUCAGCACAAUGGUGCAUGUCAGUCAUGAUCUGGAUUCUCAGCAUUAGCAGAAAAAAUAAGAGUCGGGAGAAAAUUGGCAGACUGUGUUCCCACCUAUUUCAGAGUCUGGAACACACAACAAAAUCUUGCUAGAUCUUUGACCUCUGAACUUGGUCUUGGUCCACAGCCAGGAAGAUGGAGAUUAUCCUGGGAUGCACGUGUGAAGGAUCUUUAAUUUCUGUUGCACACUAAUCCUGUGUAGCACAUCAACGGGACUAAGGGAUAACAGCAAAGUAGAAUCAUUCGCCAUCCCUAUGUCCAGAUGGCAAUAAGAAGACAUGGUAAAUCACUUGACAAAGGUCAGAUCAUGAAACAAAAUCAUGUCCCUAAAACAAUCUCAUUUUUUAACUUAUCCUUGCUGCAUUAGAACAUAUGAAAGUUACGGAGUGAAUAUAUAUGAAAAUGAGUGACCUUGUCAGAGAAUGAUAGCAUAAAAAAUCUAAGAUGUUCCUUUGAAGUGGGAAAAGCAUUGUGUAAUGAGCUUGGAACCAGAGAGGCCUUAGGGAGAUAGAGUGUGACCCUCUUCCCCUCCAGACUUGUGUUGAGUGCGGGGCAGAAGGCUCUUGACCUCUCUGGGGCUCUCUUUGCCCUGAGGUUAAAUGGAGACAGUGAAUGCAAAUUUGAAGAGCUUGUAAUGAAACUGGGUGUGUGUGGUCAGUGCAAACAUUCACAAAAAAUGGAAUGAUUGCACUGACAUCUGGCAUGGGUUUUGUCUAUUUGAGAAGGAUAAAAAUACACUGCUUAGCCCACAGGCCUAUUCUGCAUAUAUCCAUAUAAUUUCUAGUGGUGUUAAACUAUGAGGCAAGCAUUAACAUAUGACAAUAAUGCAUUCACUUAUCUAUAAGUAGAUUCUUCACAUUGGAAGCCAGUAAAUGAAUUAUGAAUCCGUAUUAGUAAUGACUGGAAUUGAACCAAACCAUUAAAUAUUUUAUACUCUCUCCACUUCCUUUUUAGUCUAGAGACCUGAGUAAUGAGAAAGCUAUUGAGGUAAGAGUUUAGUACUUGUUCCAACUCCCCUAAUAUGACAGAUUGAGGGCCUUACAUCCACCAGUUGCUUGUGCUAAAUUGGGAUUAUAAAGAUGAGUGAGUGGAAGGAAGGAUGUUAUUUAUAAUAUUCACAUAUUGUAUAUUAAGUCUUUGACCCCAAAUGCACGUUGAAUAAAUCUUUGCACUUUGUACUGCUACCAAUGGAAUAUCUUUCUGGCUGGUACUUAAUAAACACUUGGAUAAAUAUAAAAGAGU